GAUGAACGCUGGCGGCGUGCCUAAUACAUGCAAGUCGAGCGAACAGACGAGGAGCUUGCUCCUCUGACGUUAGCGGCGGACGGGUGAGUAACACGUGGAUAACCUACCUAUAAGACUGGGAUAACUUCGGGAAACCGGAGCUAAUACCGGAUAAUAUAUUGAACCGCAUGGUUCAAUAGUGAAAGACGGUUUUGCUGUCACUUAUAGAUGGAUCCGCGCCGCAUUAGCUAGUUGGUAAGGUAACGGCUUACCACGGCGACGAUGCGUAGCCGACCUGAGAGGGUGAUCGGCCACACUGGAACUGAGACACGGUCCAGACUCCUACGGGAGGCAGCAGUAGGGAAUCUUCCGCAAUGGGCGAAAGCCUGACGGAGCAACGCCGCGUGAGAGAUGAAGGUCUUCGGAUCGUAAAACUCUGUUAUUAGGGAAGAACAAAUGUGUAAGUAACUAUGCACGUCUUGACGGUACCUAAUCAGAAAGCCACGGCUAACUACGUG
Molecule: ribosomal RNA, 497 nt
Filed under: uncultured bacterium
Lineage: Bacteria
Description: partial 16S ribosomal RNA
Rfam family: Bacterial small subunit ribosomal RNA
Source: RNAcentral